This 111-nucleotide ribosomal RNA is filed under the name uncultured Rhodoplanes sp. Its description in RNAcentral is "partial 16S ribosomal RNA". It matches the Rfam family "Bacterial small subunit ribosomal RNA", at positions 54 to 177 of the family's 1533-position model. The record is from RNAcentral. Lineage: Bacteria; Pseudomonadati; Pseudomonadota; Alphaproteobacteria; Hyphomicrobiales; Nitrobacteraceae.
CAUGCAGUCGAGCGCCGUAGCAAUACGGAGCGGCAGACGGGAGAGUAACACGUGGGAACGUGCCCUUCAGUUCGGAACAACCCAGGGAAACUUGGGCUAAUACCGGAUACG